AACGAACGCUGGCGGCAUGCCUAACACAUGCAAGUCGAACGAAACCGUCGGGUCUAGUGGCUCCUGGGUGCGUAAAGGGUGGGAACCUGCCCUUGGGUUCUGCAUAACUCUCCGAAAGGGGUGCUAAUACCGGAGAAUGUCUUCGGACCAAAGAUUUAUCGACUUUGGAUGGGCCCGCGUUGGUUUGGUUUGUUGGUAGGGUAAGAGCCUGCCAAUGGGACGAUCCGUAGCUGGCUUGUGAGGCUGAACAGCGACACUGGGACUGAGACACGGCCCAGACUCGUACGGGAGGGAGCAGUGGGGAAUAUAGGACAACGGGCGAAAGGCUGAGCCAGCACGGCCGGGAGAGUGAUGAAGGCCUUGGGGAUGUCAUGCGCUUUUAACCGGGCUGAUAAUGACGGUACCGGGAGAAUAAGCUCCGGCUAACUCCGUG
Molecule: ribosomal RNA, 433 nt
Filed under: uncultured bacterium
Lineage: Bacteria
Description: partial 16S ribosomal RNA
Rfam family: Bacterial small subunit ribosomal RNA
Source: RNAcentral